RNAcentral lists this ribosomal RNA (1471 nucleotides) under Streptococcus agalactiae 18RS21. RNAcentral describes it as "bacterial LSU rRNA". It matches the Rfam family "Bacterial large subunit ribosomal RNA", at positions 1087 to 2575 of the family's 2925-position model. Lineage: Bacteria; Bacillati; Bacillota; Bacilli; Lactobacillales; Streptococcaceae. The record is from RNAcentral.
AGACAACUAGGAUGUUAGCUUAGAAGCAGCUAUUCAUUCAAGGAGUGCGUAAUAGCUCACUAGUCGAGUGACCCUGCGCCGAAAAUGUACCGGGGCUAAAACAUAUUACCGAAGCUGUGGAUGACACAAAAGUGUCAUGGUAGGAGAGCGUUCUAUGUGUGAAGAAGGUGUACCGUGAGGAGCGCUGGAACGCAUAGAAGUGAGAAUGCCGGUAUGAGUAGCGCAAGACAGGUGAGAAUCCUGUCCACCGUAAGACUAAGGUUUCCAGGGGAAGGCUCGUCCGCCCUGGGUUAGUCGGGACCUAAGGAGAGACCGAAAGGUGUAUCCGAUGGACAACAGGUUGAUAUUCCUGUACUAGAGUAUAUAGUGAUGGAGGGACGCAGUAGGCUAACUAAACCAGACGAUUGGAAGUGUCUGGUCAAACAGUGAGGUGUGAUAUGAGUCAAAUGCUUAUAUCUUUAACAUUGAGCUGUGACGAGGAGCGAAGUUUAGUAGCGAAGUUAGUGAUGUCACACUGCCAAGAAAAGCUUCUAGCGAUACAUAUACUCUACCCGUACCGCAAACCGACACAGGUAGUCGAGGCGAGUAGCCUCAGGUGAGCGAGAGAACUCUCGUUAAGGAACUCGGCAAAAUGGCCCCGUAACUUCGGGAGAAGGGGCGCUGAUUUUAGAUCAGCCGCAGUGAAUAGGCCCAAGCAACUGUUUAUCAAAAACACAGCUCUCUGCUAAAUCGUAAGAUGAUGUAUAGGGGGUGACGCCUGCCCGGUGCUGAAGGUUAAGAGGAGUGCUUAGCGUAAGCGAAGGUAUGAUUGAAGCCCCAGUAAACGGCGGCCGUAACUAUAACGGUCCUAAGGUAGCGAAAUUCCUUGUCGGGUAAGUUCCGACCCGCACGAAAGGCGUAAUGAUUUGGGCACUGUCUCAACGAGAGACUCGGUGAAAUUUUAGUACCUGUGAAGAUGCAGGUUACCCGCGACAGGACGGAAAGACCCCAUGGAGCUUUACUGCAGUUUGAUAUUGAGUAUCUGUACCACAUGUACAGGAUAGGUAGGAGCCUAUGAUAACGGGACGCCAGUUUCGUUUGAGGCGUUGUUGGGAUACUACCCUUGUGUUAUGGCUACUCUAACCCAGAUAGGCAAUCCCUAUCGGAGACAGUGUCUGACGGGCAGUUUGACUGGGGCGGUCGCCUCCUAAAAGGUAACGGAGGCGCCCAAAGGUUCCCUCAGACUGGUUGGAAAUCAGUCGUAGAGUGUAAAGGUAUAAGGGAGCUUGACUGCGAGAGCUACAACUCGAGCAGGGACGAAAGUCGGGCUUAGUGAUCCGGUGGUUCCGUAUGGAAGGGCCAUCGCUCAACGGAUAAAAGCUACCCUCGGGGAUACAGGCUUAUCUCCCCCAAGAGUCACAUCGACGGGGGAGUUUGGGCACUCGAUGUCGGCUCGUCGCAUCCUGGGGCUGUAGUCGGUCCCAGGGGUUGG